UACGGAGGGUGCAAGCGUUAUCCGGAUUUACUGGGUUUAAAAGGGUGCGCAGGCGGAUAUGUAAGUCAGUGGUGAAAUCUCUAGGCUUAACCUGGAAAUUGCCGUUGAUACUAUAUAUCUUGAAUGCUGUGGAGGUAAGCGGAAUAUGUCAUGUAGCGGUGAAAUGCUUAGAUAUGACAUAGAACACCUAUUGCGAAGGCAGCUUAACUACGCAGAUAUUGACGCUCAUGCAUCGAAAGCGUGGGGAUC
RNAcentral lists this ribosomal RNA (249 nucleotides) under uncultured bacterium. RNAcentral describes it as "partial 16S ribosomal RNA". It matches the Rfam family "Bacterial small subunit ribosomal RNA", at positions 524 to 769 of the family's 1533-position model. The record is from RNAcentral.